UCAGACGGCCGGGCGGCCGCUUCGGUCCAGUGGCGAAAGCCGGGCCGGAGAGGAAAGUCCGGGCUCCACGGAAGGAGGGCGCCGGGGAAAGCCCGGCGGGCCGGUUUGCCGGUCCAGGGAUAGCGCCGCAGAAAACAAACCGCCGCGCCUGGCGCGGCAAGGGUGAAACGGUGCGGUAAGAGCGCACCGCCCCGACCGCAAGGAAGGGGGCACGGCAAGCCCCGCCCGGAGCAAGACCGAAUAGGGAUGGAAGUCCGGUUCGUCCGGACACGCGCCUUCCGAGCGCCAUCCGGGUAGGUCGCUUCAGUCAGUGAGCAAUCACUGGCGCAGAUGAAUGGUCGCCACCGGUUUUUCCCAUGUGGAAAAACCGGCACAGAACCCGGCUUACAGGCCGUCUGACCCC
Molecule: RNase P RNA, 403 nt
Filed under: Marinicauda pacifica
Lineage: Bacteria; Pseudomonadati; Pseudomonadota; Alphaproteobacteria; Maricaulales; Maricaulaceae
Description: Bacterial RNase P class A
Rfam family: Bacterial RNase P class A
About the family: Ribonuclease P (RNase P) is a ubiquitous endoribonuclease, found in archaea, bacteria and eukarya as well as chloroplasts and mitochondria. Its best characterised activity is the generation of mature 5'-ends of tRNAs by cleaving the 5'-leader elements of precursor-tRNAs.
Source: Rfam by way of RNAcentral